RNAcentral lists this ribosomal RNA (521 nucleotides) under Phoma sp. 40R(3). RNAcentral describes it as "eukaryotic LSU rRNA". The stretch from base 167 to 320 matches the Rfam family "5.8S ribosomal RNA". The record is from RNAcentral. Lineage: Eukaryota; Fungi; Ascomycota; Dothideomycetes; Pleosporales; Didymellaceae.
GGGUGAACCUGCGGAAGGAUCAUUACCUAGAGUUGUAGGCUUUGCCUGCUAUCUCUUACCCAUGUCUUUUGAGUACCUUACGUUUCCUCGGUGGGUUCGCCCACCGAUUGGACAAAUUUAAACCCUUUGCAGUUGAAAUCAGCGUCUGAAAAAACUUAAUAGUUACAACUUUCAACAACGGAUCUCUUGGUUCUGGCAUCGAUGAAGAACGCAGCGAAAUGCGAUAAGUAGUGUGAAUUGCAGAAUUCAGUGAAUCAUCGAAUCUUUGAACGCACAUUGCGCCCCUUGGUAUUCCAUGGGGCAUGCCUGUUCGAGCGUCAUUUGUACCUUCAAGCUCUGCUUGGUGUUGGGUGUUUGUCUCCUGUAGACUCGCCUUAAAACAAUUGGCAGCCGGCGUAUUGAUUUCGGAGCGCAGUACAUCUCGCGCUUUGCACUCAUAACGACGACAUCCAAAAGUACAUUUUUACACUCUUGACCUCGGAUCAGGUAGGGAUACCCGCUGAACUUAAGCAUAUCAAUAA